GUGGGGACUGAAGGGCAGAGGGUGGUGUGCUGAGGACCCCUGCCCUGGAAGCAAGCUCUGAGCCCUGCCCGCCUCUCUCUUGGGCAGUGACCUCACUCCUCUCUUUCAGCCCUACAACCAUGGACACAAAGUGGCCAAGUUCUGCUAUGCAGACCAGGCCCUGCUCAGCAAAGCUAUUGAGGCAGCCUUGGCUGCCAGAAAAGAGUGGGACCUGAAGCCUGUCACAGACCGGGCCCAGAUCUUCCUGAAGGCCGCAGAUCUGCUGAGCGGGCCACGCAGAGCAGAGGUUCUGGCCAAGACCAUGGUGGGGCAGGGUAAGACAGUGAUGCAGGCGGAGAUCGAUGCUGCGGCUGAGCUCAUUGACUUCUUCCGAUUCAAUGCAAAGUUCGCCCUGGAGCUGGAGGGGGAGCAGCCCAUCAGCGUGCCGCCCAGCACCAACAGCGUGGUGUACCGGGGGCUGGAGGGCUUCGUGGCAGCCAUCUCCCCCUUUAA
Manis javanica (Malayan pangolin) is the source of this 492-nucleotide non-coding RNA. The record is from RefSeq and is a predicted model, not a curated record. Lineage: Eukaryota; Metazoa; Chordata; Mammalia; Pholidota; Manidae.